UCUAUGAAAAUAAUGUAGUGAUCGCUUCCCAAGUCUUGCAUGGUGUUUGUCUAAGUGACUUUGCGUGUGUUGCACGUAAAAGUAAGGUCCGGCGUCGUGUCAGUGCUGAUGCUGUUGCCCUGCCUUGUUGGUGCCGUGGGGUCGGCGACCAGCUCGAGUCCGCCGUAUUGCGCCGUUGCCCAUAGAUGCGUGCCUUUGGGUUAAUCGUGCUUGUAACCCCACGCCGUGUGCACCGCGUUGAAGUGCCCCCCAAUGAACAGCUGUUGCCCCUGGGCAAUGUUGAUUGCCCGUUUGAAGAGGUCAUGGAAGCGGUGCUGGCGGCAUCUGGGACUGCUGUAGACGUUGAGGAUGAAGAUGCUGUUGCGCGUCUUCCGUGGUGGAAUCAAUUCUACGAGGACGUUUUCAAUGUCGCUGAUUUUGGUGUCGUGUUCAAUAGCUGUGUGCGCUCGCUUGAUCAGCGUGGUGACGUUUGGUUUCUCCGCCUUGCCUGUUAUAGACUGGUACCCCGCGAGUUUGGCGGGACCGUUCGUUUCCUGCAGUAUGAUGACGUCUGGGCGUUCGGGGAUCGUUUUCAGGUAUUGUUGAGACGCCCAUCGCUGACGUGCCUGUACCGAAGACGCCAGAGCCGUUAUCAACACCUGCCGCCAUGGUCCGGCAGCUGCCGCUGAAGCAUAUGCUCUAAACGCGGCUCGAGCCAUGACCGACGGUACUGACAGCUUGAGUUAUUCAGCACGCACAGCUGCUAUACCCACUGCUGCCGCUCUGGCGUCGUCAUAUGCUUCCUACGGCCCCAUCUGACAUGUAUCAGAGCAGCUGGAGGUCUUCUCGGGCCAGAUAAUGAUGAGCGCGGAGAACUGGAUCUCUUAUUUCUCGACGCACCUGCUGCGUUUCUCACGCGUAACGGUGUGACGUGUGCUUCCAAUGGGAUUUCCCGCUUGAACUGGCUACAGUAAAGUGAAGCCGCGAUAAUGUAGCAGUUAUAUUUCGAUUCUAUUUGCCAUGCAUCGUCAGUAGGCCUAGCUGCACUCCGCCAAAGUUGCCACCAGGAUCACCUGGUUGUUAGCUGCGGAUGAUAAUGGAACAGACUGGAAAAUCGAGCGAAAGGAACCUUUACAUUACACGCAGGCCCAAUAUUAGCUGAUCUAUGGGCUGACUCCGGGGAUGGGCCAGAUACGUUGAAAUUUUAUUUUGAAUAUAAGAUACCCGAUACACAUUACUGUUGCUGUUCUUAGAUAUUUCAGCACAUUCGUCCAAAGCUUGUUCCAGUGCAGCUGUAGUUUCGGUGCCCCUGGAAGCUACCAUUGACAAUUGGCUUGUAAAUUUAAGUGCUGCUGAUUGUCACACUACGUCGUUCUAUGUUUUACGAAUAAGACGAAGCAAGUUUUUUCGAUGGCUUAAGCGACACACGUCACAGAGAAACAUGGUACGUUCCUAAAGCACGCACUAACUACGCCACGCACUGCCAUCUUUUUUUGUAAACUCAUUAGAAACUCAAUAGACACCUACCUCUCCUUUUAAUGGGCUCAUUGUGGAUUCCUUCUUUUUUUUUGCUCUGGUAUACACUGACGCCAUGAAGGCUUAACUAAUUUUCUCUGCUUGUAAACAACUUAUUAUUUAUAGAUGUGAAUUUCAAGGCUAUAUUAUUUGUAUCAUUUUAUACUAUUCGCUCUCUGUAAUAUAAUUUCUUGCACCAUUCUAUUGUUGAUUUUUUUACCCGUGUCCAUUUCUGUUAUACAAUGUUCACUAAUGUUCACUUUUUUUUCUCGUUUAUCCAUUAUUGUAUGUUUGUGUUCUCUUUAUUGUGCACAGUACCAUUUCUGUAGGGGGUACAGACCCCGUCAAGCCGAAUUCAUUUGGCUUUUUCUCUGUACUCCUGUCAUCUGUACAUGUAUAGAUGCAAAUAAAUUUGAAUUGAAUUGCGGCCCGUUA
Molecule: long non-coding RNA, 1929 nt
Organism: Dermacentor andersoni
Lineage: Eukaryota; Metazoa; Arthropoda; Arachnida; Ixodida; Ixodidae
Source: RefSeq, a predicted model, not a curated record